Molecule: transfer RNA, 81 nt
Filed under: Erinaceus europaeus (western European hedgehog)
Lineage: Eukaryota; Metazoa; Chordata; Mammalia; Eulipotyphla; Erinaceidae
Rfam family: tRNA
About the family: Transfer RNA (tRNA) molecules are approximately 80 nucleotides in length. Their secondary structure includes four short double-helical elements and three loops (D, anti-codon, and T loops).
Source: Rfam by way of RNAcentral
GGGGGUGUGGCAUAAUGGUUAUGCAAUCAGACUCUCAUGCCUGAGGCUCUGAGGUCCCAGGUUCAAUCCCUUACACCACCA